This 229-nucleotide unclassified non-coding RNA is filed under the name Hevea brasiliensis (rubber tree). Lineage: Eukaryota; Viridiplantae; Streptophyta; Magnoliopsida; Malpighiales; Euphorbiaceae. The record is from RNAcentral.
CCACAAGGCCUGGGGCAAGGCGUUUUAGCUUGAGUCUGUUAUUGGAAGAAGACAGUGAUGAUGGUGAUGUAAGGGAGGUAGGGCCAACAAUGCGAAUAGAUAGGAGUGGAGCUCCUUGGGUAUGAGAAGCACGACGAAGGUGUUCAGCGAGGGCCAGAAGACCAGAGGCAAAACCAUUUUGACUCCGGUUGAGGGGCAACGGGAGAUCAACUGGGUGGCGUAGGCUAAC